UACAGAGGGUGCGAGCGUUGUCCGGAAUCACUGGGCGUAAAGGGCGCGUAGGUGGCGACCCAAGUCUGUGGUGAAAGCUCGCCGCUUAACGGCGAGUCGGCCACGGAUACUGGGUGGCUCGAGCACUGUAGGGGCAGAUGGAAUUCCGGGUGUAGCGGUGGAAUGCGUAGAGAUCCGGAGGAAGACCGGUGGCGAAGGCGGCCUGCUGGGCAGUUACUGACACUGAGGCGCGACAGCGUGGGGAGCAAACAGG
Molecule: ribosomal RNA, 253 nt
Filed under: uncultured bacterium
Lineage: Bacteria
Description: partial 16S ribosomal RNA
Rfam family: Bacterial small subunit ribosomal RNA
Source: RNAcentral